CACGUAGGAGGCAAACGUUAUCCGGAUUUACUGGGCGUAAAGCGCGUGUAGGUGGUUCUGUAAGUAGGGCGUGAAAGCUCCUGGCUCAACUGGGAGAGGCCGUUCUAAACUGCAGAGCUAGAGGAUGGUAGAGGGAGGUGGAAUUCCGGGUGUAGCGGUGGAAUGCGCAGAUAUCCGGAGGAACACCAGUGGCGAAAGCGGCCUCCUGGACCAUUCCUGACACUCAGACGCGAAAGCUAGGGUAGCAAACGGGAUUAGAAACCCCAGUAGUCC
This 273-nucleotide ribosomal RNA is filed under the name uncultured prokaryote. Its description in RNAcentral is "partial 16S ribosomal RNA". It matches the Rfam family "Bacterial small subunit ribosomal RNA", at positions 524 to 796 of the family's 1533-position model. The record is from RNAcentral.